Gasterosteus aculeatus aculeatus (three-spined stickleback) is the source of this 4596-nucleotide long non-coding RNA. NCBI's taxonomy places the organism in Eukaryota, Metazoa, Chordata, Actinopteri, Perciformes, Gasterosteidae. The record is from Ensembl.
UAUAUAUUUUUUAUAUGUAUAGUGUCAGGCAAAUUCAUUCCUGUAUUUCAUUUAUUUUUUACAAAAAUGCAUAAUCUCACUUGACCCCACUCUCUCUCUCUUACACAUAGUCUGGAGGAAGCGUCGGAGCAGGCGAUGUCAGGAAACACUGAUGAAUGAGCACACGGGAGGGGGAAGGGGAAGGUCUGAAUGUACAGGACAAAUGGUUGCAUCUGAAACACAAUAUCCUUCUUCAUUUAUCAUCACCUACUAAUAUUCGACCUCACACACACGCAUCCUGUUAUCUCUGGUGCUCAUUUAUUUAGUCUCCAACAGAGACACUCUGUCACUGGUUCAAAUAGCAGCAUAGCAACCAAAUUACAGUAUAAUGAUGUGUGUGUCUGUCGUACUGCAUCAGUGUGUUCCUGCCACACACACACACACACACACACACACAGCACUAAUAUUUGACCAUUUAGUAUAACUAUUUAGUAUUAAUAUACAAAAGAACAGUGAUGGCUGGCUAAUAAAGGGCAAUGGGGUGUCGCCCCCACCUGGACUGACUAACCCUUUUUCAAUAUGAUAAAAAAAACUUUAAAAUCGUAUGUUUUAAGAUAAAAAAUAUUUUGUUUUUCUUUUUAAUAGUACCAAUUGCCAACCUGCCGCCUGCCGUGAAAUGAGGUUGAUCCAUUAUUUUACAAUGUAGUUCAUUCAAGUAAAGUUGUUUUCACAUAUUUGUAGUUAUUAUAUGGAAUUGUAAAAAUUAAUUUUACACAUAUAAAAUCAUUGAGCAACUGAAAAAGCAGGUAAAGCUUUUUAUGCAGGCGACAACGUGGGCGAUGCGUGCUAUUAUGAUGAGUUGGCAGAUAAGUACCAGCUGUCAAGGAGGUUUUCAUCCAGGUGCCGGACACCGUUCGUCAGACAGAAUGGACUGGAAGUAAGUUGGCUUUGUAUCGCAGAUAGCCAGGUGCUCAAAGAGAGGAUUAACAGGCGGUUAUCGCUGUCAUAGUGUCUAUCGGCACCAUCUGCAGGAAACCGGAGCAGCCGCUCACUUAGAUACGUUUAUUCAAUGGACAGAUGUUUGUAUAGGAAAUUAUGUCACUGCUUAAAGUGGACUUGAUGUUAACUUAAUGAAUAGAUGGUAUCCAGUGUGCUAAAAAGGUGGAUAAGAUCAAAUAUGGAGGGAUUCAGAGCUUUUACAUUGGGAAUACCAGAAUGAAGAUCUAGAAGAGUUAUACUUCUGUUAUCAGUAUUUAACCUGAAAGGAAACACAGACAAGCAGCAACGUGGAAUGAAAUAUCACCUAUGAAUAGUGUCGGCAGCAUUUUAAUUUAAUUAAGAAACAUGGACAUUUAAAGCAUCCAAGAGUAAUUGUAUGUUUUGAUUUCUCAUUAAAAAGUAAAAUGGAAAAUGCUUUCUUAAACACUUCAUUUUUCUGGGAAAAUUAUAUCUGCGAUAACUAGAAAAUAGUUUUUGGGUAAAUACAAUUUGAUUGAAAUACAAUAAACCCUACCCAGAGAAGUAAUGCACAUGAGAGGGUGUGUAUUAAUAAUGUCACAACUUCUCCAGUUAGAACCCAAAUGCAGACUGCGCAAGGUAGAUGGUGACAAGGUGAGUAUUUAUUGAACAAGGGGGAGUGGUAUUUCCGACACGCAGACAGGUGAAUUCCGGUGACGUUGUGAUGUGGGGAAAAGGUUCAGGUUGCCAGGCGGGAGUGACGGGAAUUCAGGGUGAAUGAACUAGAGACGGAGAUACAAGAAAUAGAUAAGCACACAAAACCCACUAUAAAAGGUGAACAGAGAUUGAUUCGCUGAGCACACAUACGAUUAUGGCUAACGAUCCGGCAGGGACUGGAUGUCAGGUCUCUGCUUAAGUACUGUUGUGAUGAUGAUCAGGGCCAGAUGUAUUGAUUGCUUGAUUGGUGACAGGCGCAAGGCAGGACCACUGCAGGGACAACCACCAUCAGAUAGAACCACCAUCCACAGAACCCUGUGGGGAGGGAAAGCACAGAGACUUUAGGAGAGGGUAAUGUUGGUUUAUGAUGAAAGUAACAGAAAUAUGAUUUGACAUUUCAAAUAAUAAUGACGAAGUCAGCAGGGCCACGACAGGUGUCAGAACCAGCGUCCAGAAGGAACUACAAUCCACAGAGACCUGCUGGGAGAGAAAGCACAAAAAAAACUCCUGGAAAGAAGCUGAAUUAGUGAUGUCAUUGUUGUAGAAAGAGAGAGUGAGAGAGGAUCUCGGUGUGUCCUAAGAAGUGCCCCGGCAGUUUAAGCCUAUAGCAGCUUAACUAACGGCUGGUCCAGGCUAACCUGAGCCAGCCCUAACUAAGCGAUAUCAAAGAGGAAAGUUUUAAGCUUUAUCAUCUUUAUCUAGCUGGCGUUACAAGCUCUUUAAGAUAAGACGGUGCCUCACCAACAAGUGCCAUGUAGGUGAGAAGUACCUUAAAUUCUAUUCUUGAUUUAACAGGGAGCCAGUGCAGAUAAGUUAAUACAGGAGCAUUAUGAUCCCGUUCCUUAGUUCUUUUCUAAAUGCACUGCAAACGCGGUGUGUUUGGGUUCAUGACAUCAUCUGUCUCGGUAUACAGCUUUGUAAAUUUCAGGAAGUGCGUCUGGAUGACUGCCGCUUUUAGCGCUACUUCAGGCUAACCAGCAGCCAGUUUCAUAAUGUGUUAGCUCGGAUCAGUGCCAGCGUCUCUCGGUUUGACACAGACUAACUAACUUACAGGCGUUCAAUCUCAGCUGCAGAGCACCUGUUUGUCUCUGAAUUGAUUUUGAAACAGCCACCCACCAAGUAGUAGUAGUAGUAGUAGUAGUAAACAGAAAAAUCAAAUGCGGAGAGAUAUAGAUAAUGUAACUGUGUUUUUAUCACUUUUACAAUAUUGCUAUCAAAUUCUUUUCAUGGUUUUAACAGGAGUAGUCUGAAUAAACCUAAACCUUUCCGUCCAAUCUCAUUGAUACUGGACACGAAUUUUGAACACCCAUUGACAGCACCAUGACCAGCUUUCUGAUACAUUUCAAUCCUCCAACACUGCUACUCCGUGUGGGGGAGCUGUGCUGUCUCAUUGUGCCCUACACAGGGCUUCACAGUGAGAGUAUUUCACUUGUAUUUGCGCCUUAAAAAUAGGUAUGUGCGGACAUUAAAAAUAAUUUAGCAGCACAGUGCGCGAGUGACUGGCUAUUUUCAAUUGAUUCCAUUGAUGUUGGAUUUGGAAGAUUCAACGUGAAAGAGGUGACUACAACUGCCACAACGUCAACGUUCACUGGAGCUGGCAGAGGGAGAACAUAUAUAGGCCUAUAAAAGCAGCUGGACAACCAAUAUCAUUUGGAUUUAGGCACAGUAUAUGCAUAACAUUUGUUUAUUAAAUGAAUACAAUAAAAAAAAAACACUGUGCUCCUAAAAUUCUUUACACAUUUACUCCUUGCGGACAACAUUAGCGUAGAGCCCUGGCCCUACAAAGGGUCUGAACAACUCACUAUUUGUUCUGGUAUUGGCGGCUUUAAUGUGACGAAUUAUCUCCUCUUCACUUCUAUGUAACACUCUUGACCUCCUCUGAUCACUGACUGUCAAAGGGAUGGAGCAAGAAAGACACUGUGAGAGGGGGUAGGUUAGAGGAUCCAAGCAAAAAAUGGAGGAAGGAAAUCAAGGACAAAGAAUGGACAAUGGUGAGGUUUUAUUUUGGCAGAUAUUGCCGUAAACCAAAAUGCUGAAAGAUGAAAUGGAUAAAAAGUCUAAGGCUCAAGAAUAGAGUCCAUCUGAUAGUAGUCCAAUCAAUACAAAAAAUGUUAAAAGGAAAAGUCGAUAUCAUCAGAUGCAUGAGGAUUUUACUUUUGUGAACCGCUAUUGUUGGUAGAACAAAGUGGUGGACUGACUGCCAGAACAAUGCUUUGAAGCAGGCCACUUACACUGCUUAAAGAGCCAGUGAAGACAUCUGGGGUCUCAUUUAUAAAACCAUGCGUAGGAUUUGCGCCAAAAGUGGCGUACGGUUGAAACAUAGGACGUGCGUACGCACAGAAAUAUUCAGACUGUAUUUCUGUAUAUUGAAACCGUGCGCACGCACGUCCUACGCAGUUUUCCUUUAAUAAAUCACAAUCACUAAUCACAAAUCACAAUCACUAAAUGCAGCGCAGCUUUUGCGGCUUCAUGUCACGCCCAUAGUUGCCCAUAUAUAGUCUGGAACGCCCACAAAUUAAUAUUCAACGAUUGCAAUAUCAUGACAAACACUGAGAGGAAAAAAAAGAAACGUAACUUCACUCAGUGUGAAGUCGAAAUUAUCAUUGGCGAGGUGGAAAAGAGAAGUAAAAUGCUUUUUGGAGGGCACACUAUGGACAUCACUAAUGCCAAAAAGGCACCUGAGUGGCAAAAGGUUGCACAGCAAUGCUGCAGCCUCACAACCUCGGACCAAAAUCAAGAAAAAAUGGUCUGAAAUCAAGAAAAAAUGGUCUGAAAUCAAAGUGGACACCGGAGCUGUCCCCUCUUGAUGAGAGACUGGCGAUGAUUGGGGAUCGGGGAGAGGGUCUGGGCCAACAUCGGCGUCAGGGGGUCGAGGCACGUUUGCACGAUUUGGACAUGAUGUGGCACAGCACAUGCAGCAUGAUUUUGCACACCUUUUCAGAA